This 858-nucleotide transfer RNA is filed under the name uncultured Synechococcus sp. RNAcentral describes it as "partial contains 16S ribosomal RNA, 16S-23S ribosomal RNA intergenic spacer, and 23S ribosomal RNA". The stretch from base 284 to 356 matches the Rfam family "tRNA". The record is from RNAcentral. Lineage: Bacteria; Bacillati; Cyanobacteriota; Cyanophyceae; Synechococcales; Synechococcaceae.
UUGGAUCACCUCCUAACAGGGAGACAAACAACGAUUUUGAUGUCUGAGUUAUUUAUUCUUAGGCCAAAAUCCUGUCACCUUAGGUCGAUCGGUACCUCAACUUUGAAGCUAAGAGAGUUCCAGCAAUGGUUGUCUGCUUAGUGUAGAUUUUUAGUUCCUAAACUUUGUCUAGUUCACAACCCAUUAGGGAUGAGACUCCUGGGCCAUUAGCUCAGGUGGUUAGAGCGCACCCCUGAUAAGGGUGAGGUCCCUGGUUCAAGUCCAGGAUGGCCCAUUCGGUGUUGGGGGUUUAGCUCAGUUGGUAGAGCGCCUGCUUUGCAAGCAGGAUGUCAGGAGUUCGAGUCUCCUAACCUCCACUGACCAAACUGUAUCCCCAUCUCCAAAAGGAAUUGGAGUAUGAAUUCGAUUGGAGUGUGAUUUUAGACGUGUCCGCUGGAUGACCCCAGCUUCCUGUCAUUCCAAAUGAAAGCAAAAACGAUUUUGCUGAUUGAAUUUGGUUGAUAAGAUGCUGGGCUCAAGUCAAAUGAUCAAGCAAUUGAUGAUUUGAUUUGAAGUUCUAGCAGAACCUUGACAACUGCAUAGGUAAGUCUGGAAAGAAUAAAGCAUCUCAUGGAUGAUGCGAUGACUCUAAACAAUGAUCUGAAAGGAUGAUUGAGAGGAGUGAUUGUGAAUUCUAUCGAGCAAGAGCCGAGACUCCAUCACGUUCUUUUGAUUGCGUCGAGCAAUGAGGAGUUAGAUCUUUGAUUCAGCAAUGAAUCAGGGAGAAUCUGUUUCAACGACAGCAAGCGUGUUGGAGAUACAUUGGUCAAGCUACAAAGGGCUCACGGUGGAUACCUUGGCACACAGAGGCGAUGAAAG